RNAcentral lists this ribosomal RNA (2925 nucleotides) under Escherichia coli. Its description in RNAcentral is "23S ribosomal RNA". It matches the Rfam family "Bacterial large subunit ribosomal RNA". The record is from RNAcentral. Lineage: Bacteria; Pseudomonadati; Pseudomonadota; Gammaproteobacteria; Enterobacterales; Enterobacteriaceae.
GGGUUGUGAGGUUAAGCGACUAAGCGUACACGGUGGAUGCCCUGGCAGUCAGAGGCGAUGAAGGACGUGCUAAUCUGCGAUAAGCGUCGGUAAGGUGAUAUGAACCGUUAUAACCGGCGAUUUCCGAAUGGGGAAACCCAGUGUGUUUCGACACACUAUCAUUAACUGAAUCCAUAGGUUAAUGAGGCGAACCGGGGGAACUGAAACAUCUAAGUACCCCGAGGAAAAGAAAUCAACCGAGAUUCCCCCAGUAGCGGCGAGCGAACGGGGAGCAGCCCAGAGCCUGAAUCAGUGUGUGUGUUAGUGGAAGCGUCUGGAAAGGCGCGCGAUACAGGGUGACAGCCCCGUACACAAAAAUGCACAUACUGUGAGCUCGAUGAGUAGGGCGGGACACGUGGUAUCCUGUCUGAAUAUGGGGGGACCAUCCUCCAAGGCUAAAUACUCCUGACUGACCGAUAGUGAACCAGUACCGUGAGGGAAAGGCGAAAAGAACCCCGGCGAGGGGAGUGAAAAAGAACCUGAAACCGUGUACGUACAAGCAGUGGGAGCACGCUUAGGCGUGUGACUGCGUACCUUUUGUAUAAUGGGUCAGCGACUUAUAUUCUGUAGCAAGGUUAACCGAAUAGGGGAGCCGAAGGGAAACCGAGUCUUAACUGGGCGUUAAGUUGCAGGGUAUAGACCCGAAACCCGGUGAUCUAGCCAUGGGCAGGUUGAAGGUUGGGUAACACUAACUGGAGGACCGAACCGACUAAUGUUGAAAAAUUAGCGGAUGACUUGUGGCUGGGGGUGAAAGGCCAAUCAAACCGGGAGAUAGCUGGUUCUCCCCGAAAGCUAUUUAGGUAGCGCCUCGUGAAUUCAUCUCCGGGGGUAGAGCACUGUUUCGGCAAGGGGGUCAUCCCGACUUACCAACCCGAUGCAAACUGCGAAUACCGGAGAAUGUUAUCACGGGAGACACACGGCGGGUGCUAACGUCCGUCGUGAAGAGGGAAACAACCCAGACCGCCAGCUAAGGUCCCAAAGUCAUGGUUAAGUGGGAAACGAUGUGGGAAGGCCCAGACAGCCAGGAUGUUGGCUUAGAAGCAGCCAUCAUUUAAAGAAAGCGUAAUAGCUCACUGGUCGAGUCGGCCUGCGCGGAAGAUGUAACGGGGCUAAACCAUGCACCGAAGCUGCGGCAGCGACGCUUAUGCGUUGUUGGGUAGGGGAGCGUUCUGUAAGCCUGUGAAGGUGUACUGUGAGGUAUGCUGGAGGUAUCAGAAGUGCGAAUGCUGACAUAAGUAACGAUAAAGCGGGUGAAAAGCCCGCUCGCCGGAAGACCAAGGGUUCCUGUCCAACGUUAAUCGGGGCAGGGUGAGUCGACCCCUAAGGCGAGGCCGAAAGGCGUAGUCGAUGGGAAACAGGUUAAUAUUCCUGUACUUGGUGUUACUGCGAAGGGGGGACGGAGAAGGCUAUGUUGGCCGGGCGACGGUUGUCCCGGUUUAAGCGUGUAGGCUGGUUUUCCAGGCAAAUCCGGAAAAUCAAGGCUGAGGCGUGAUGACGAGGCACUACGGUGCUGAAGCAACAAAUGCCCUGCUUCCAGGAAAAGCCUCUAAGCAUCAGGUAACAUCAAAUCGUACCCCAAACCGACACAGGUGGUCAGGUAGAGAAUACCAAGGCGCUUGAGAGAACUCGGGUGAAGGAACUAGGCAAAAUGGUGCCGUAACUUCGGGAGAAGGCACGCUGAUAUGUAGGUGAAGUCCCUCGCGGAUGGAGCUGAAAUCAGUCGAAGAUACCAGCUGGCUGCAACUGUUUAUUAAAAACACAGCACUGUGCAAACACGAAAGUGGACGUAUACGGUGUGACGCCUGCCCGGUGCCGGAAGGUUAAUUGAUGGGGUCAGCGCAAGCGAAGCUCUUGAUCGAAGCCCCGGUAAACGGCGGCCGUAACUAUAACGGUCCUAAGGUAGCGAAAUUCCUUGUCGGGUAAGUUCCGACCUGCACGAAUGGCGUAAUGAUGGCCAGGCUGUCUCCACCCGAGACUCAGUGAAAUUGAACUCGCUGUGAAGAUGCAGUGUACCCGCGGCAAGACGGAAAGACCCCGUGAACCUUUACUAUAGCUUGACACUGAACAUUGAGCCUUGAUGUGUAGGAUAGGUGGGAGGCUUUGAAGUGUGGACGCCAGUCUGCAUGGAGCCGACCUUGAAAUACCACCCUUUAAUGUUUGAUGUUCUAACGUGGACCCGUAAUCCGGGUUGCGGACAGUGUCUGGUGGGUAGUUUGACUGGGGCGGUCUCCUCCUAAAGAGUAACGGAGGAGCACGAAGGUUGGCUAAUCCUGGUCGGACAUCAGGAGGUUAGUGCAAUGGCAUAAGCCAGCUUGACUGCGAGCGUGACGGCGCGAGCAGGUGCGAAAGCAGGUCAUAGUGAUCCGGUGGUUCUGAAUGGAAGGGCCAUCGCUCAACGGAUAAAAGGUACUCCGGGGAUAACAGGCUGAUACCGCCCAAGAGUUCAUAUCGACGGCGGUGUUUGGCACCUCGAUGUCGGCUCAUCACAUCCUGGGGCUGAAGUAGGUCCCAAGGGUAUGGCUGUUCGCCAUUUAAAGUGGUACGCGAGCUGGGUUUAGAACGUCGUGAGACAGUUCGGUCCCUAUCUGCCGUGGGCGCUGGAGAAUUGAGGGGGGCUGCUCCUAGUACGAGAGGACCGGAGUGGACGCAUCACUGGUGUUCGGGUUGUCAUGCCAAUGGCACUGCCCGGUAGCUAAAUGCGGAAGAGAUAAGUGCUGAAAGCAUCUAAGCACGAAACUUGCCCCGAGAUGAGUUCUCCCUGACUCCUUGAGAGUCCUGAAGGAACGUUGAAGACGACGACGUUGAUAGGCCGGGUGUGUAAGCGCAGCGAUGCGUUGAGCUAACCGGUACUAAUGAACCGUGAGGCUUAACCUUACAACGCCGAAG